Oncorhynchus tshawytscha (Chinook salmon) is the source of this 778-nucleotide long non-coding RNA. RefSeq lists it as uncharacterized. The record is from RefSeq and is a predicted model, not a curated record. NCBI's taxonomy places the organism in Eukaryota, Metazoa, Chordata, Actinopteri, Salmoniformes, Salmonidae. The transcript has 2 exons.
UGGCAUUUGCAACGCCAGGGUUGUGGAUUUGAUUGCCACAGGAUAAAAGUAUGAAAAAUGUACAUACUCACUCAGUCGCUCUGGAUAAAAUUGUCUACUAAAUGACUAAGAUGCAUAGAUCGACUGCCUGCUCCUUACAAUGGGAUGGUGGUUCCUGGCGCCGUCCCCCGUUACACCCCUCCACCUCCCCUGGACAUCGAUGGGUCCCCUGCCUAUGCCAUCAGGUCUCUACUGGACUCCCGACGUCGUGGGGGUCGGCUUCAGUACCUGGUGGACUGGGAGGGGUAGAGGAGCGAUGUUGGGUUCCGGCAACCGGCUCAUCGAUGUUGGGUUAAGAGGAGCGAUGAGGAGCGAUGUUGGGUUUCGGCGGCCGACAUCCUGGAUCCCAACAUUAUCCAAGAUUUCCAUUUCCGGCAACCGGCCCGAUCCUCGCCCUUGGGGCCGUCCUCCUGGCCGGCGUCGUCCUGUGGCUGGAGCUGUGCUGGGGGUGGGAUACUGUCACACCUACUCCCGUUCCCUCUCUCUGGUGCUCGACAUCGCCAGUCUACUAACCACCGGUCCGGCAACCCAGAUAACUCACACCUGGCAACCAUCAUUACGCACACCUGCUCCCCAUCGUUAUGCACAACUGGACUUCAUCAUUACCUUGAUUACUUCCCCUUUAUUUAUCCCUGUAGCUUCAGUCUUCAGGCAGUGUUGGUUUUGUUCACGUUCGGUACGCUUCUUCUGUUUUGUUUAUCUGCUUAUUCUCAUUAUUAAACUCACCUUCUGCACCUGC